This 414-nucleotide ribosomal RNA is filed under the name uncultured bacterium. RNAcentral's name for it is "partial 16S ribosomal RNA". It matches the Rfam family "Bacterial small subunit ribosomal RNA", at positions 57 to 507 of the family's 1533-position model. The record is from RNAcentral.
GCAAGUCGGUACGGGUAGUUUUUUAACUCAAGUGGCGGACGGGUGAGUAACACGUGAGAAUUUACCUUUAGGAGGGGAUAACAUUGGAAACGAUUGCUAAUACCCAUAUGCUUUUUUUAAGUGAAACGGAUUUAUUCGCCUAAAGAAAAGUUCGCGGCUGAUUAGCUAGUUGGUAAGGUAAUGGCUUACCAAGGCGACGAUCAGUAUCUGGUUUGAGAGGAUGAUCAGACACACUGGAACUGAGACACGGUCCAGACUCCUACGGGAGGCAGCAGUGGGGAAUUUUCCGCAAUGGGCGAAAGCCUGACGGAGCAAUACCGCGUGAGGGAAGAAAGCCUACUGGGUUGUAAACCUCUUUUUCAGGGAGGAAAAAAAUGACGUGUACCUGAAGAAUAAGCAUCGGCUAACUCCGUG